ACCUUCUGUCAGCAGGCUCUUGCCCACCCUGGGGCCUCCUUAUUAGCCAUCAUGUAGAAAGCAAAAAAGCUCUUCCAAGGAGCCAUCAGUCUCCUUGAUUACAGGGAAGGGAUAGUCCACUGGCGUUCACAGCUUUACAAUGGCAGAGAUCGUGAGAUCAAAGAGCAUGAACUGGAAGGGUCCUCACAGGUCACUGAGUACGAACCUGUCUUAGCCUUCAUUUCUUCAUCGAUAGUAUGAGGAUAAAAACAGCACCAAUCUCAGAGGGUUUUUAUAAGCAUCAACAAGGUAGAAGAACCAAUCAGCAGUUAAUGAUCUUCCCCGAAAAGAUCUUACCUUUAUGAGGACAGAGGACCAGCUGCCUUCUUGCAUAUUUACUCUGUAUAUAGCCGGUGCUCAGUAAGUGUGACCGAAAUGUCUCAAAGACAGAUAGGAAGAAAGGGGAUGAGAAGCAAUGUGCUGAGUUAGGUUCAUAUUCUCUCCCCCAAAUAGAAUAUAAGCUUCCUGAGGUGAGGGGAUAUUUCAAAUUUUAAAACUUGUAUUCUGUGUAGGUGAAAAUAUGUGAUUUAUCACCUGUUUAUUUGGGUAUAUGAUUUGGGGUUUUGGUUUCAUAAGAUUAUUCACUGACAAAAAUAAAUAAUAG
RNAcentral lists this long non-coding RNA (643 nucleotides) under Monodelphis domestica (gray short-tailed opossum). RNAcentral's name for it is "lncRNA (ENSMODG00000039867.1)". The record is from RNAcentral. Lineage: Eukaryota; Metazoa; Chordata; Mammalia; Didelphimorphia; Didelphidae.